RNAcentral lists this unclassified non-coding RNA (204 nucleotides) under uncultured fungus. RNAcentral describes it as "sequence contains ITS1". Lineage: Eukaryota; Fungi. The record is from RNAcentral.
UUGAUUCAUUUGUUUUUUUGCCUUUCGGCUACUCAGAGAAUUCUAAAAAAACGAGUUUGAUACCUUCGGCGGGCGCCUGGUUCCAGCAGACCCCGUGAAGGGCCUGGCUGGGACGAUCCGCCGAAGCAACAAUAUGGUAAGUUCACAUAGGGUUUGGGAGUUAAAAACUCGAUAAUGAUCCCUCCGCUGGUUCACCAACGGAGA